This 484-nucleotide ribosomal RNA is filed under the name uncultured bacterium. RNAcentral describes it as "partial 16S ribosomal RNA". It matches the Rfam family "Bacterial small subunit ribosomal RNA", at positions 29 to 507 of the family's 1533-position model. The record is from RNAcentral.
AUUGAACGCUGGCGGCAUGCUUUACACAUGCAAGUCGAACGGCAGCGCGGGCUUCGGCCUGGCGGCGAGUGGCGAACGGGUGAGUAAUACAUCGGAACGUGCCCAGUAGUGGGGGAUAGCUCGGCGAAAGCCGGAUUAAUACCGCAUACGACCUGAGGGUGAAAGCGGGGGAUCUUCGGACCUCGCGCUAUUGGAGCGGCCGAUGGCAGAUUAGCUAGUUGGUGGGGUAAAGGCCUACCAAGGCGAUGAUCUGUAGCUGGUCUGAGAGGACGACCAGCCACACUGGGACUGAGACACGGCCCAGACUCCUACGGGAGGCAGCAGUGGGGAAUUUUGGACAAUGGGCGAAAGCCUGAUCCAGCAAUGCCGCGUGUGUGAUGAAGGCCUUCGGGUUGUAAAGCACUUUUGGCGGGAACGAAAAGGACUGUGCCAAUACCACGGUUCGAUGACGGUACCCGCAGAAUAAGCACCGGCUAACUACGUG